This 476-nucleotide ribosomal RNA is filed under the name uncultured bacterium. RNAcentral's name for it is "partial 16S ribosomal RNA". It matches the Rfam family "Bacterial small subunit ribosomal RNA", at positions 28 to 523 of the family's 1533-position model. The record is from RNAcentral.
GAUGAACGCUGGCGGCGUGCUUAACACAUGCAAGUCGAGCGAGUGAGUUCUUCGGAACGAUCUAGCGGCGGACGGGUGAGUAACACGUGGGCAACCUGCCUCAUAGAGGGGAAUAGCCUCCCGAAAGGGAGAUUAAUACCGCAUAAAAUUAUCGAGUGGCAUCACAUGAUAAUCAAAGGAGUAAUCCGCUAUGAGAUGGGCCCGCGGCGCAUUAGCUAGUUGGUGAGGUAACGGCUCACCAAGGCGACGAUGCGUAGCCGACCUGAGAGGGUGAUCGGCCACAUUGGGACUGAGACACGGCCCAGACUCCUACGGGAGGCAGCAGUGGGGAAUAUUGCACAAUGGGGGAAACCCUGAUGCAGCAACGCCGCGUGAGUGAUGAAGGUCUUCGGAUUGUAAAGCUCUGUCUUUGGGGACGAUAAUGACGGUACCCAAGGAGGAAGCCACGGCUAACUACGUGCCAGCAGCCGCCGUAA